RNAcentral lists this ribosomal RNA (286 nucleotides) under uncultured bacterium. RNAcentral's name for it is "partial 16S ribosomal RNA". It matches the Rfam family "Bacterial small subunit ribosomal RNA", at positions 30 to 321 of the family's 1533-position model. The record is from RNAcentral.
CCUGAACGCUGGCGGCGUGGCUAAGACAUGCAAGUCGCACGGAUGUAGUAAUACAUCAGUGGCGGACGAGUGAGUAAUUUAUCGCUAAUGUACCCUGGAGCCUGGGAUAGCUGUCCGAAAGGACAGGUAAUACCAGAUGAAAUAGAGCCUGUCGCAUGACAGGAAUCUCAAAGCAGCAAUGCACUCUUGGAGCAGGCGAAUCGUAUCAGCUAGUUGGUGAGGUAACGGCUCACCAAGGCGAUGACGCGUAGCUGGUCUGAGAGGACGACCAGCCACAUCGGAACUG